GACGAACGCUGGCGGCGUGCUUAACACAUGCAAGUCGAACGGAAAGGCCCUGCUUUUGUGGGGUGCUCGAGUGGCGAACGGGUGAGUAACACGUGAGUAACCUGCCCUUGACUUUGGGAUAACUUCAGGAAACUGGGGCUAAUACCGGAUAGGAGCUCCUGCUGCAUGGUGGGGGUUGGAAAGUUUCGGCGGUUGGGGAUGGACUCGCGGCUUAUCAGCUUGUUGGUGGGGUAGUGGCUUACCAAGGCUUUGACGGGUAGCCGGCCUGAGAGGGUGACCGGCCACAUUGGGACUGAGAUACGGCCCAGACUCCUACGGGAGGCGGCAGUGGGGAAUAUUGCACAAUGGGCGGAAGCCUGAUGCAGCAACGCCGCGUGCGGGAUGACGGCCUUCGGGUUGUAAACCGCUUUCGCCUGGGACGAAGCGUGAGUGACGGUAAUGGGUAAAGAAGCACCGGCUAACUACG
RNAcentral lists this ribosomal RNA (466 nucleotides) under uncultured bacterium. RNAcentral's name for it is "partial 16S ribosomal RNA". It matches the Rfam family "Bacterial small subunit ribosomal RNA", at positions 28 to 505 of the family's 1533-position model. The record is from RNAcentral.